UUUGAGAACUUAUGUGAG
RNAcentral lists this small nuclear RNA (18 nucleotides) under Arabidopsis thaliana (thale cress). Its description in RNAcentral is "snRNA_03684". Lineage: Eukaryota; Viridiplantae; Streptophyta; Magnoliopsida; Brassicales; Brassicaceae. The record is from RNAcentral.